AUGUGAUGAACCCCUAGAUGACGAGUCUUAUUGAGUUUCUCAUGCAGACAACAACUUAUUUAUACCAUUCAUGCCUUACUGACC
RNAcentral lists this small nucleolar RNA (84 nucleotides) under Taphrina deformans PYCC 5710. Lineage: Eukaryota; Fungi; Ascomycota; Taphrinomycetes; Taphrinales; Taphrinaceae. The record is from RNAcentral.